GACGAACGCUGGCGGCGUGCUUAACACAUGCAAGUCGAACGGAAAGGCCCUGCUUUUGUGGGGUGCUCGAGUGGCGAACGGGUGAGUAACACGUGAGUAACCUGCCCCUGACUUUGGGAUAACUUCAGGAAACUGGGGCUAAUACCGGAUAGGAGCUCCUGCUGCAUGGUGGGGGUUGGAAAGUUUCGGCGGUUGGGGAUGGACUCGCGGCUUAUCAGCUUGUUGGUGGGGUAGUGGCUUACCAAGGCUUUGACGGGUAGCCGGCCUGAGAGGGUGACCGGCCACAUUACGACUGAGAUACGGCCCAGACUCGAACCGGAGGCAGCGGGGGGGAAUAUUGCACAAUGGGCGGAAGCCUGAUGCGGCACCGCCGCGUGCGGGAUGACGGCCUUCGGGUUGUAAACCGCUUUCGCCUGUGACGAAGAGUGAGUGACGGUAAUGGGUAAAGAAGCACCGGCUAACUACGUG
This 468-nucleotide ribosomal RNA is filed under the name uncultured bacterium. Its description in RNAcentral is "partial 16S ribosomal RNA". It matches the Rfam family "Bacterial small subunit ribosomal RNA", at positions 28 to 507 of the family's 1533-position model. The record is from RNAcentral.